Molecule: unclassified non-coding RNA, 444 nt
Filed under: Sinoradlkofera minor
Lineage: Eukaryota; Viridiplantae; Streptophyta; Magnoliopsida; Sapindales; Sapindaceae
Description: partial external transcribed spacer
Source: RNAcentral
GUGAGUGGUGAUUGGACGGAAUGGGUUUGUUGGCUCCUUGCUUGUGCAUCGAACUGCAAGCUCUCCGUCCUCUUCAUAGUUAUCCCCAAGCACGUCACGUGUCUUGUGGGUGUGUUCGGUAUCCUGUAUUGAUUACCAAUGCAAUGGUAUUCGGUGUUUUUGAUGCUCACAUCCGCCUAGUGCCCGUUAGGGUAAUGGGUGGACGAAAGGUUGGCCCCGUGCUCCCGGCAUGCCUAGCAAUGUUGUGUGGCUGCCAUGGUGCAUGGGGUUGUGCCCGUUCUUUCGGAUGCGGAUCGUUACGUGUGUCGGCGAGGGGUUUCGGCCUCUACUCGUCCGCUUUACGCACUUGUCCCUCGACACGAACGACCGCCGCACCCGUCUUGGCUCGAGAGCUUCACAGCUCCUCGAGAUUCCAUCGGNNNNNNNNNUGUCGUGAAGGAAUGC